UACAGAGGGUGCAAGCGUUGUUCGGAAUUACUGGGCGUAAAGCGUUUGUAGGCGGUGCUGAGAGUCCUAGGUGAAAUCCCCGAGCUCAACUCGGGAACUGCCUGGGAGACCUCAGUACUAGAGUACUGAAGGGGUUACUGGAAUUCCAUGUGUAGCGGUGAAAUGCGUAGAUAUAUGGAGGAACACCUGUGGCGAAGGCGGGUAACUGGUCAGAGACUGACGCUGAGAAACGAAAGCGUGGGGAGCAAACAGG
RNAcentral lists this ribosomal RNA (253 nucleotides) under uncultured bacterium. Its description in RNAcentral is "partial 16S ribosomal RNA". It matches the Rfam family "Bacterial small subunit ribosomal RNA", at positions 524 to 776 of the family's 1533-position model. The record is from RNAcentral.